UACGAAGGGGGCUAGCGUUGCUCGGAAUCACUGGGCGUAAAGGGUGCGUAGGCGGGUCUUUAAGUCAGGGGUGAAAUCCUGGAGCUCAACUCCAGAACUGCCUUUGAUACUGAGGAUCUUGAGUUCGGGAGAGGUGAGUGGAACUGCGAGUGUAGAGGUGAAAUUCGUAGAUAUUCGCAAGAACACCAGUGGUGAAGGCGGCUCACUGGCCCGAUACUGACGCUGAGGCACGAAAGCGUGGGGAGCAAACAGG
Molecule: ribosomal RNA, 253 nt
Filed under: uncultured bacterium
Lineage: Bacteria
Description: partial 16S ribosomal RNA
Rfam family: Bacterial small subunit ribosomal RNA
Source: RNAcentral